Cucurbita pepo subsp. pepo (vegetable marrow) is the source of this 1109-nucleotide RNA transcript. RefSeq lists it as uncharacterized. The record is from RefSeq and is a predicted model, not a curated record. NCBI's taxonomy places the organism in Eukaryota, Viridiplantae, Streptophyta, Magnoliopsida, Cucurbitales, Cucurbitaceae.
UUCCUCCACAGUGGAAUUUGAGCCUGUGGCUGAUGAACAAACUACAUCUUGUGAGAAUCAGAUGCAGCCAAAGCUGGUAUGCCCUUUGUGCCGAGGGAAGGUAAAAAAGUGGGUUGUUGAUGAGCAUGCUCGUCAGUUCAUGAAUGCAAAAUCAAGAAGUUGUUCUUGUGAGACAUGUAACUUCAGUGGAACCUAUACAGAUCUUAGGAAGCACGCAAGGAAGGAGCAUCCUCUUGUUCUCCAUCAGAAGUCGACCCAGAACGACAGCAUAAUUGGAGACGACUUGUGCGACAAAGGGACCUGAGAGAUCUUCUUAGCACACUACAAUCAUCAUUUGGAGAGGAUAGGGUUGAUGAUGAUAGUAUUUUGCCCAUUGAUGAUGGGGGCUGGCUCACAGUUUUUCUCCUUAUUCGAGUUUUUAGACCUGAAUCCGGUAGAAGGAGCAGCAGUUGGUCUAAUGUAUCUAGAGCUGGAGAGCAACCAAGUUAUAGGAGGAGAGAGUUAUGAUUGGGAAAUAGGAUCAUCUUCCAGAGACGAAGAUAAUAACUCUUCAGACGUUGGAUCAGGAUCGUCGAGGCAUCAAGAUCGCACACAGCGACAGGCAAUUUCCCACAUGGAAAGAAAGAUGGAGGCUGUUCCUUGCUGCCUUUAUCAUGCGUUCCGUUGAUUCUGGAUCAAUUCUGGAAAUGGUAAAUUCAACCUGGACCAUCCAUCUUCUAUGUCAGCUCCUUGGAUAUCCAGCCUCAAAGAAACAAACACAAAAGGAGAUUCUUGUUUCGAUGAUGGAUAUAAUGGAAUAACUGAACAAAGAAUAUUUGGCGGUGUAUCUUCCUACACACUGGUUCAACAAUGUAUACUUGAAUCAUGAAAGAUCACCCAAAAUGUUAGAAGGGUCGGGAUGACUUCUAACUGGUGAGAUUUUAUCGGUUGGUUAAUUAAGCAAUAAUCUAAGUAAGUUGUAGUUCAGUGGAUGUUCAAACUUCUAACUUAUUAGUUAAAAUCAUAUAUUAAAAAAAAAAAAACUAUGCUUUACUAAUGCAUUUGAAGGAUUGUUUAAAGUUCAUUCCUGCCCACCAAUCAAGGAGUGUCACAUGAUUAUCUACAUAUUC